CUUGGUCAUUUAGAGGAAGUAAAAGUCGUAACAAGGUCUCCGUUGGUGAACCAGCGGAGGGAUCAUUACCGAGUUAUACAACUCAUCAACCCUGUGAACAUACCUAAAACGUUGCUUCGGCGGGAACAGACGGCCCUGUAACAACGGGCCGCCCCCGCCAGAGGACCCCUAACUCUGUUUUUAUAAUGUUUUUCUGAGUAAACAAGCAAAUAAAUUAAAACUUUCAACAACGGAUCUCUUGGCUCUGGCAUCGAUGAAGAACGCAGCGAAAUGCGAUAAGUAAUGUGAAUUGCAGAAUUCAGUGAAUCAUCGAAUCUUUGAACGCACAUUGCGCCCGCCAGUAUUCUGGCGGGCAUGCCUGUUCGAGCGUCAUUACAACCCUCAGGCCCCCGGGCCUGGCGUUGGGGAUCGGCGGAAGCCCCCUGUGGGCACACGCCGUCCCUCAAAUACAGUGGCGGUCCCGCCGCAGCUUCCAUUGCGUAGUAGCUAACACCUCGCAACUGGAGAGCGGCGCGGCCAUGCCGUAAAACACCCAACUUCUGAAUGUUGACCUCGAAUCAGGUAGGAAUACCCGCUGAACUUAAGCAUAUCAAUAAGCGGAGGA
RNAcentral lists this ribosomal RNA (604 nucleotides) under Fusarium sp. CR9. RNAcentral describes it as "eukaryotic LSU rRNA". The stretch from base 219 to 372 matches the Rfam family "5.8S ribosomal RNA". RNAcentral also lists the same sequence under 3 other names. Lineage: Eukaryota; Fungi; Ascomycota; Sordariomycetes; Hypocreales; Nectriaceae. The record is from RNAcentral.